UUUUAAUAACGCAGGAAAAAUUAAUCCGGCUGCUCUGCUGCAUGCCCUCAAGGAAGGGCAGCGGAGACAGCCAAGUUCUUUCCACACAGCACCUUUUUCUAACAAGAUCUGCCUUUCAAACAAACCAGGAAAAACAGGCGUAAUUAAAGGGCAAUCAAAGCGCUGCAGGAACCUCGCUGUCAGCGAGAUGAAAGAUGCCUUUCUGAAAUGAAGGCUUGCGUACCCAGAUCUCUUCUCCCCGGUUUAUCUUGGACGCCGCGCUCCUUUGUCACACAAGAAGCGCCCGCAAUUUUGCUUAGUCCAAAGGCUACAUAUGCAGAAGCUUCAGAUGAGAUGUCACCUCGGACAGCCUCUCCUUACUCACCGCGGCGUGGAAGAGGAGAACAAAGAGACGCACGACCCUUCGACCGAGCUAACCUGAAGAGUUAGUUUGAGGCUGACCCGGUGACAGCAGUCCCAAGGAGCAGCCCAAACAACCCAUUGAUCAGCCGCACACGAAAGAGAAACUGCCCAGCAGCUCCACGGUUGUUAUUGAAAUGCUGAUGGUGGAAAACGUGUGGUUUCUCUAAAGGCUUUGACAAAUAUGGACACGGAAGGGAAAAAUAAAGGGUCUUUUCUAAAGCUACGUCCACAUGGAUAUACAUAAAAUAGGCCCUGACACGCUCAGUCUGUGCUGGGAGCUGGCAGGAUGCAAAUCCUCUGGCCCCAAAGCCUUAUAAAUUACACCAGCGUGGCUCCGAGGCCUUCCGAGAGCAGCGCGGUGCGCUAACGAAGCCAUGUGGCUUCCAGGACGGGCGCUGGGUCGCGGCCAGGCAGCUCGCAGCGCGGGCAGGGCAAGCACAGCUCUGCCCGCACACAUCCACCGAGGCACGUCCUAAGAAAGCAGUGCUGAGGAGACUGCUCUGUCUUUAAAAGAAGAAGAAGAAAAAAAAAAACAAAAAACCCCAGCAGCUUAGUAGGGAUCACCUGAGAGGUCGCUAAUCUUCCUGCUCUCACAUUCGUUUCUUCACCUCCCACGUGCGCACCGCAGGUUUUGCAUCAGCAGGAGGCGAGCCAGGAAAAGGGAGAUAAAAAAACAGAAUUGGGCAACUCGUGCACCUGUGGGCUCGCCUCCCGCCUUUGGGAUCGGACGCUCCAAAUAAGGCUCGUCUGGCAGGUCCGCGACAGGGCCGCAUCCGCUCCAGCCCCGCUCAGCGCCCUCCUGCUCGGAGCCCGAGGAAUUGGUUUGCACUGGAGCCCCCGAAGCCCCGUCUGGGUGCCUGGCACCGGGCGCGCCGCGGGUCCCACACCCCGCCAGGGAAGGAGGAGCGGGAGCCAUCGCCCAGUCGCAGAUAAAAGAACGUCCUCGGAGCAAGUUCAUCCCAUCAAGAGACCGAGAAGGCACGGUAAUGAAAGGAAAAUGCAUAUUCCCCCUCAAAGGGGAACGCCGAGUGUUAUUCCAACGUGUUCUGGGGCAAGGAAAUACAGGAACGUCUCUGCUCACAGCACGUGGGAAAAGCGGGGAGAGAGGUUCCCAUUCCUGCCAGCGCUUCCUCCCCGCCCCACGCUCUGAUAAGAUAAAGAUGCGGCCCAGGUGUCAGCUCCCGUCGGGGUGGUUCGAAAGAAAACAAAAGCAGCAGCUUGGGGGGGGUGAAAAAUUGGCAAUAAGGUAAAAAAAAAAAAAUAAUAAUAAUAAUCUGAAAGAAUGAAGUCUACAAAGGCACAGAAAUGGCUGAAGGGAAGUUCUGCCAUAAGGCACGAAAGGAAUGGAAGUUAAAAAAAAAAAUACCAGCACCCAGCUUUCCACCUAGGAAAGCUCACCGAGGGAAGGGUUUUGUUUUGGCUUUAUGAAACACGCCGCGAGCUUCAGAGCCAGGCGGAAGACCAGAAAGGUGGUGGAGAUUGAGACACCGAGUCCUGAGGGGAGAUCUUAGCUGAAAAACUCCUCCUGGUGUGCAACGUUUAGAACCAAGGGCAACAGACACUUGGUUUUAGAGAACCCAGGCCAGAGUAGGAGAGCUCCGUGUUGAGAGGCAGGCAACGCUUGCUGUGCUUUUCCUACGUCCCUGCUCCAACGCUGCAUGUGCUUGUGCCUCAAAGUACCUGUGGUCUGUAGCGCUGGCUCCAAACCAAUCUCCCUCCUUGAAGUAUGUUUGACUCAUCACAUUUCAUAGUUUCAUUUCCAACUAACCAAACCUGUACGUCCUCAAUGCUGCUCAAGGUGGCAACACCUUCUUUAAUGAGGCAUAUGACUGCCGCUUCAUUACAAUGGCAUCCAUAUAAAUACGGGCAAUACUCAUCAAUCACAAAAGUUGAGUUCUUCCUACGGCGAACACCAAGCGAGGGCUACGCUACAAGAAACUCUUAAAGUAAAUCAGCAGCGUACACCCCAGCCUUACUUUGAGUUAGAGCAAGAAAUCUGUCCUCUCCAGGAGAAAAGUCCUGCCCAGGAACUGCAGGCAGGAAGCACAAGGGCCUGCCAGCAGACCACCCUCACCGGGCAACCUAAUAUUUCUGAAGGCCAAUUCAAGUUUGCCACAAAUUACCUUAAUGCAGGACUGUCCCACUCGUCUUGGACAAAAAAAAAGAGCAUUGUUUAAACUCUGUUAUUCAGGGUGUCACUUGAGAGACGUCACAGCACCUCGUCUUCAGUGGAAAGAAGCAAGAAGCUCUACCACAGCAUUCUCCACCUCCAAAGCCGUGGUCAGACCCUUACGACAUACCCCCUUUUAGGGGAAAGGGUCUUUUCGCACAGUGUCUGCUUACAGCACCAAAGGGUGCCUCGAACACCACCUCGAGUUCUUGCAGCUACAAAAUCUGGCGAACACGCAAUCACCGAGAAGACGCGGGUGUGUUUUGCUGCGUUCUGCCAAACCCUGCCUCUCCUUCGAGCUGCAGCUGAGCAGGUUGGGCACGUGAGCCGUUCCGAAGCCCCCCGGCUCGCCCCGGGCAGAGCCCCGGCCCUCCUGCUCCACGGGGCAGGAGCUCAGACGGGACUUGAGCAAAGCCGGAUCCAGCGAAGCCAGUUACCCCUGGGGAAACCGAUCUGGCCAGAUUGUUCAACUGUCACUGACCCGAGAGCGGGCCACGUCCCCAGGCCAGAGGCAAGGGAGAGAGAAUUUGCCUCACACGGCCUAACGGGUAGCAGCAGGGGUAACAGGACAGCCAACAGUAAGAACAGAGUGGCAGGAAAGACGGGUAAGAAACGCGCGCUUAACCACGCGCAUAACGACAAUUUCCACCAGAAGACCUCUAACGGACGCCAGCCGGGGGAGGAGAACCAGGCACGCUGUACAGACACGAGAGGAGGUGGCUCCCAGUCUCAAAAACUCACACCCUGAACCUACAGACGCUUCUCCCCAUUGCCAGGUGGAGGCAAUCCACACAGAAAGCGCUACAAGGACAGGAAUUCCUCUUCCCCAAGUUCAGCAACAGACUUUAAAGACGGCCAAAGCCUGCUUGGUCAACGAGGAGGGGCAGGCACCUCCACAGCAAGCUCCAUCCCAGCCCUAAUGAAGUAACAGAAGCGAAAGAUGACCAGCCUGUGUUCAGACAUCCAAAAGCUGUUACACAAAAACAAUUCUACCUCGACCUUCUGCCCAACGCAGCAGAAGCCCAGGACAGGGUGGGAAACUGUUUGAAGUCUCCGCAAGCCUCAGGGUGACUCCAGUGUUACCCGUUGCGUGCGAGCGAGCGUAUCAGCUCCCCAUCUCUGUCAGACUCAUCAGGCCACGCUUCCACCCAGCUGGGGCUGCUCCCGAGUAGCUGUGCUGACCACAGCACCUCCUCUCCAUCUUUCUAUCCUAUAUUUGCUCUCUUUCCAGUCUCGGAAGCACCACUUACAGGCAGCCUCUCUCCCCCACUCAAAACCUGGUCUUCCUCCCCACCCUCAGCUCCCUUCCCCUUUAGGUCCUGAGCCCUUUUUCCAGCUUGAACGCGCCUGGGAAGCCCACCGAGUUCUUAACGCGCCGCUCUCCCCCAGGCUGGCCGUUCCCAGCGACUCCUGUGCUGUCUCCGAGGAACAGAAGAGGGCAGAGAGGAGCUGCCAGAAAGAAGCACAAAACAUUUGCUCCGAAAGCCACAGGCACUGAUCCCAGAGUGGGAAAAGCCUGUCACGCGUGAAGUGCUCCUGGUGUACUCGACAGCACACACCCAGCCAGCUGCGGGACACCAGCAGUCGCUCCAAGCAGAGCUGCUCCGUCCCGCAUCCAGGAGGCGUGCCCAGCUCUCGUCAGAACAGUUUUGCCUCACCAGAAAGCUGUAUUUCACCCAAUCCCCUGUGCCUCCAGGCCAAAGCACUCUCAGGGAGCGAGGCGACACGCUCCCGGCACGGACAAAGCGGCUCUGACGUUCCUGUACGUCCCCACAGCAAGGGCUAGCACGAGGCAAGGCAAGUUCUUGUAAACCUCUGGUCCCAGAGCUGCGAGGAGCAACUCGGUGUGACGAGACGGCAUUUCCCCCUCAGCAGUUCUGACCCACGCCCCGAGCCCCGGGUGCCUGACCGAGCAAUUACAGCACAAACCUCAGGCGCAGAGCCUCACACCACCGCACCGCACCGCACGGCACCGAGUCCUCCCCACAGCAACCUGGAACCGAGAGCAGCAGGGAAAGGGGCGAAGCAGCAACCCCGGGAGAAUCACCUGGCUCUGGGCCAGGUUAACUCCGGGGCGCAGGAAGCAAGUUUCUAAUAGGCAAGGCUUGCUGGCUGGUUAAAUACACCGUCUACGCAACGCCGCUCUUAUUAACCAUCAGACUUGGUUUAUUUCUGAUGCUACAGAAGGUCUUCCACAGGUACUCAGCGCUCCUCAUUCCCUGCUCUUCAUAUUCUUCACGACUAUUCUUUGGGGG
Molecule: long non-coding RNA, 4827 nt
Organism: Cygnus olor (mute swan)
Lineage: Eukaryota; Metazoa; Chordata; Aves; Anseriformes; Anatidae
Exons: 2
Source: RefSeq, a predicted model, not a curated record